UCAAAUAUUACUGCUACCUAUUACAAUACUAAAAUACAUUAACACGACAUCAAAAUAUUAAAAAUGCAACUACAAUGUUGACUAGUUACUUUCUCACAUUCAUGAUUCAACAAGCUCAAAAGUCAGAACAUCCAACAAAGCCAACAAACAUUUCUGAUAGCAAAUAUUUAGAUACUCCCUUGAACAACAAAAAAAGGAACCAGUCACCCUUUCUUCAAAGAGAAUAGGUCUUAGUUAGGCUGGCAUGUC
RNAcentral lists this long non-coding RNA (249 nucleotides) under Coffea arabica (coffee). RNAcentral's name for it is "long non-coding RNA (CARA_LNC002934)". Lineage: Eukaryota; Viridiplantae; Streptophyta; Magnoliopsida; Gentianales; Rubiaceae. The record is from RNAcentral.